UUGGUUUUCGGACCAAGAGACCGGCGCACGGGUGCGUAACGCGUAUGCAAUCUACCUUUCACAGAGGGAUAGCCCAGAGAAAUUUGGAUUAAUACCUCAUAGUAUUGCGGAAUGGCAUCAUUCUGUAAUUAAAGUCACAACGGUGAAAGAUGAGCAUGCGUCCCAUUAGCUAGUUGGUAAGGUAACGGCUUACCAAGGCUACGAUGGGUAGGGGUCCUGAGAGGGAGAUCCCCCACACUGGUACUGAGACACGGACCAGACUCCUACGGGAGGCAGCAGUGAGGAAUAUUGGACAAUGGGCGCAAGCCUGAUCCAGCCAUGCCGCGUGCAGGAUGACGGUCCUAUGGA
This 348-nucleotide ribosomal RNA is filed under the name uncultured bacterium. RNAcentral's name for it is "bacterial SSU rRNA". It matches the Rfam family "Bacterial small subunit ribosomal RNA", at positions 73 to 422 of the family's 1533-position model. The record is from RNAcentral.